Cygnus olor (mute swan) is the source of this 464-nucleotide long non-coding RNA. RefSeq lists it as uncharacterized. The transcript has 3 exons. The record is from RefSeq and is a predicted model, not a curated record. NCBI's taxonomy places the organism in Eukaryota, Metazoa, Chordata, Aves, Anseriformes, Anatidae.
GCUAGUACUGGGAACAAACUCCGUUGAAACACAGCUGUGACAGAGGUCACAUAAAUCAUCUCUAGCAGCAUGCAAAGGGUCUGUUCAGAACUGGAAAGGUAAUGUUCAUUUGCAUGCUACUUAUCUUUUACUCUGCCUUAAAGCUUGAACAAAACCCUCAAGAAAUGGAAACAGACUGCCUUCAAACACCUUCAGAAUUUGCUCAAGAGCUAUCAUGCUUAAGACCAUGGUAAUUUACAUGGAACAAGUCCUGGUAAAACAGCAUUGCAGAAUCUGACACUGUCAAAAAUAUUUCUUCUGCAAACAAGAGCAAGGCAAAGUCCGCAGACUCCUCAACUCUCCCUCUGUAUCAGUGUUGUGAGACUUCUACAUUAUUUUUUGGCCUAUUUAGUAAACUUGAGGGAUAAUAGUUGUCUUUGGCUGGUGUGUGUGUGUGUGUGUGUGUACAUUGUGCCUUGAACUAA